GUUUGACCUAGUUUGGUUGGUUGACUUUUAAUUUGACUUAUGUUUUAUUUUAAUUAAUUCACGUACCAAUUUUCAUUAUUUUUAAAAUCGUUUUUGAGGGUGAUGAUUUCCUGACCCCACAUUAUUUAGUUUAAUUUUUCAUAAUUUUCUUGAUUAAUUUACUAUUUAUUCUUGAUUUAUUUCUAACCUAGUCUUAUUAAUUGACUUUUGGCUUGACCUAUGUUUUG
This 227-nucleotide long non-coding RNA is filed under the name Lathyrus oleraceus (garden pea). RNAcentral describes it as "Pisum sativum (pea) long non-coding RNA (PSAT_LNC020015)". The record is from RNAcentral. Lineage: Eukaryota; Viridiplantae; Streptophyta; Magnoliopsida; Fabales; Fabaceae.